Molecule: unclassified non-coding RNA, 240 nt
Filed under: soil metagenome
Description: partial contains 5.8S ribosomal RNA, internal transcribed spacer 2, and large subunit ribosomal RNA
Source: RNAcentral
AACGCACGAGACCUGCGGACCUGCGGAGGGAUCAUUAACAAUAAAAAAAAUGAAUCCUUUUUCCAAUUCGAUGGGGUAAAACCUGUCGAUUGGAAAAAAGCAAACUUGUGAUGCAAAGUUAAAGUCUUUACCAGUAGGAAUGGGGUUCAUUCCUCGCUUAUUGGUAAUUCUUUAGCAACCAAUUGAUAUUCUUUGUCUGAAUGUGUCGGUUCUUUAUUGAACCUUCCAUUUUACUUAACC